CGCGCUGUCAUCUGGGGAGUAGCCAGCUGGCGCCCGCGCAAGCGGACCGUCAGUGGCCUGUCGUCAACAUACUUGGUCGAGAGACCAUGGCGCACAGGAGAACGGACAACCGUUCGGGCGAGACCAAUGGCGUUGCA
This 137-nucleotide unclassified non-coding RNA is filed under the name Novosphingobium sp. KN65.2. RNAcentral's name for it is "yybP-ykoY". The record is from RNAcentral. Lineage: Bacteria; Pseudomonadati; Pseudomonadota; Alphaproteobacteria; Sphingomonadales; Sphingomonadaceae.